RNAcentral lists this ribosomal RNA (1057 nucleotides) under fungal sp. J272. RNAcentral describes it as "SSU rRNA". It matches the Rfam family "Eukaryotic small subunit ribosomal RNA", at positions 54 to 1123 of the family's 1831-position model. The record is from RNAcentral. Lineage: Eukaryota; Fungi.
CAUGUCUAAGUAUAAGCAAUUAUACAGCGAAACUGCGAAUGGCUCAUUAUAUAAGUUAUCGUUUAUUUGAUAGUACCUUACUACUUGGAUAACCGUGGUAAUUCUAGAGCUAAUACAUGCUAAAAAUCCCGACUUCGGAAGGGAUGUAUUUAUUAGAUUAAAAACCAAUGCCCUCUGGGCUCCUUGGUGAUUCAUAAUAACUUUUCGAAUCGCAUGGCCUUGCGCCGGCGAUGGUUCAUUCAAAUUUCUUCCCCAUCAACUUUCGAUGUUUGGGUAUUGGCCAAACAUGGUCGCAACGGGUAACGGAGGGUUAGGGCUCGACCCCGGAGAAGGAGCCUGAGAAACGGCUACUACAUCCAAGGAAGGCAGCAGGCGCGCAAAUUACCCAAUCCCGAUUCGGGGAGGUAGUGACAAUAAAUACUGAUACAGGGCUCUUUUGGGUCUUGUAAUUGGAAUGAGUACAAUUUAAAUCCCUUAACGAGGAACAAUUGGAGGGCAAGUCUGGUGCCAGCAGCCGCGGUAAUUCCAGCUCCAAUAGCGUAUAUUAAAGUUGUUGUGGUUAAAAAGCUCGUAGUUGAACCUUGGGCCUGGCUGGCCGGUCCGCCUCACCGCGUGUACUGGUCCGGCCGGGCCUUUCCCUCUGUGGAACCUCAUGCCCUUCACUGGGUGUGGCGGGGAAACAGGACUUUUACUUUGAAAAAAUUAGAGUGCUCCAGGCAGGCCUAUGCUCGAAUACAUUAGCAUGGAAUAAUGAAAUAGGACGUGUGGUUCUAUUUUGUUGGUUUCUAGGACCGCCGUAAUGAUUAAUAGGGACAGUCGGGGGCAUCAGUAUUCAAUUGUCAGAGGUGAAAUUCUUGGAUUUAUUGAAGACUAACUACUGCGAAAGCAUUUGCCAAGGAUGUUUUCAUUAAUCAGGAACGAAAGUUAGGGGAUCGAAGACGAUCAGAUACCGUCGUAGUCUUAACCAUAAACUAUGCCGACUAGGGAUCGGACGAUGUUAUUUUUUGACGCGUUCGGCACCUUACGAGAAAUCAAAGUGCUUGGGCUCCAGGGGGAG